Molecule: ribosomal RNA, 117 nt
Organism: Sinocyclocheilus grahami
Lineage: Eukaryota; Metazoa; Chordata; Actinopteri; Cypriniformes; Cyprinidae
Source: Ensembl
CCCGGCAGCCAUAUCACCCUGUAGCCCAAGACUGGUUGCCCACUGAAGCUAAGCAGGGUUGAGCCUGGUCAGUACCUGGAUAGGAGACCUCCUGGGAAAACUAGGUUGCUGUUGGAA